This 600-nucleotide ribosomal RNA is filed under the name uncultured fungus. Its description in RNAcentral is "eukaryotic LSU rRNA". The stretch from base 234 to 387 matches the Rfam family "5.8S ribosomal RNA". Lineage: Eukaryota; Fungi. The record is from RNAcentral.
CUUGGUCAUUUAGAGGAAGUAAAAGUCGUAACAAGGUCUCCGUAGGUGAACCUGCGGAGGGAUCAUUACACAAAUAUGGAGGCGGGCUGGAACCUCUCGGGGUUACAGCCUUGCUGAAUUAUUCACCCUUGUCUUUUGCGUACUUCUUGUUUCCUUGGUGGGUUCGCCCACCACUAGGACAAACAUAAACCUUUUGUAAUUGCAAUCAGCGUCAGUAACAAAUUAAUAAUUACAACUUUCAACAACGGAUCUCUUGGUUCUGGCAUCGAUGAAGAACGCAGCAAAAUGCGAUAAGUAAUGUGAAUUGCAGAAUUCAGUGAAUCAUCGAAUCUUUGAACGCACAUUGCGCCCGCCAGUAUUCUGGCGGGCAUGCCUGUUCGAGCGUCAUUUCAACCCUCAAGCUCAGCUUGGUGUUGGGACUCGCGGCAACCCGCGUUCCCCAAAUCGAUUGGCGGUCACGUCGAGCUUCCAUAGCGUAGUAAUCAUACACCUCGUUACUGGUAAUCGUCGCGGCCACGCCGUUAAACCCCAACUUCUGAAUGUUGACCUCGGAUCAGGUAGGAAUACCCGCUGAACUUAAGCAUAUCAAUAAGCGGAGGA